ACUUUCUGGGGACGUGUUGUGUUGCUCAACAAGGAAACCGGAACUUACAGUUUAAAGCUUUUUUUUUUGCGUCAGUUGAGUUUCACAACUCAUCCACGAAGUUUGCAGGACUAUUUUUUGAACGCGCUCACGGUAAACACUGUGCUUCGGGACCUUUUGGAUGAAGAAAGAAUGUCAUACAGGUUUGGAAUGACAUGAGCGAAAUUGUCAGAACAUGAUGGAUGUGGAUCAUCACACUUUACAGAAGACUGGGGUGAAGUUUACUGACAUUUAAAAAAAGCU
Long non-coding RNA from Ctenopharyngodon idella (grass carp), 282 nucleotides. RefSeq lists it as uncharacterized. The record is from RefSeq and is a predicted model, not a curated record. Lineage: Eukaryota; Metazoa; Chordata; Actinopteri; Cypriniformes; Xenocyprididae. The transcript has 3 exons.